GACGAACGCUGGCGGCGUGCUUAACACAUGCAAGUCGAACGGAAAGGCCCUGCUUUUGUGGGGUGCUCGAGUGGCGAACGGGUGAGUAACACGUGAGUAACCUGCCCUUGACUUUGGGAUAACUUCAGGAAACUGGGGCUAAUACCGGAUAGGAGCUCCUGCUGCAUGGUGGGGGUUGGAAAGUUUCGGCGGUUGGGGAUGGACUCGCGGCUUAUCAGCUUGUUGGUGGGGUAGUGGCUUACCAAGGCUUUGACGGGUAGCCGGCCUGAGAGGGUGACCGGCCACAUUGGGACUGAGAUACGGCCCAGACUCCUACGGGAGGCAGCAGUGGGGAAUAUUGCACAAUGGGCGGAAGCCUGAUGCAGCAACGCCGCGUGCGGGAUGACGGCCUUCGGGUUGUAAACCGCUUUCGCCUGUGACGAAGCGUGAGUGACGGUAAUGGGUAAAGAAGCACCGGCUAACUACGUGCCAGCAGCCGCGGUGAUACGUAGGGUGCGAGCGUUGUCCGGAUUUAUUGGGCGUAAAGGGCUCGUAGGUGGUUGAUCGCGUCGGAAGUGUAAUCUUGGGGCUUAACCCUGAGCGUGCUUUCGAUACGGGUUGACUUGAGGAAGGUAGGGGAGAAUGGAAUUCCUGGUGGAGCGGUGGAAUGCGCAGAUAUCAGGAGGAACACCAGUGGCGAAGGCGGUUCUCUGGGCCUUUCCUGACGCUGAGGAGCGAAAGCGUGGGGAGCGAACAGGCUUAGAUACCCUGGUAGUCCACGCUGUAAACGGUGGGUACUAGGUGUGGGGUCCAUUCCACNGGGUUCCGUGCCGUAGCUAACGCUUUAAGUACCCCGCCUGGGGAGUACGGCCGCAAGGCUAAAACUCAAAGGAAUUGACGGGGCCCCGCACAAGCGGCGGAGCAUGCGGAUUAAUUCGAUGCAACGCGUAGAACCUUACCUGGGUUUGACAUGGAUCGGGAGUGCCCAGAGAUGGGUGUGCCUCUUUUGGGGUCGGUUCACAGGUGGUGCAUGGCUGUCGUCAGCUCGUGUCGUGAGAUGUUGGGUUAAGUCCCGCAACGAGCGCAACCCUUGUUCACUGUUGCCAGCACGUUAUGGUGGGGACUCAGUGGAGACCGCCGGGGUCAACUCGGAGGAAGGUGGGGAUGACGUCAAGUCAUCAUGCCCCUUAUGUCCAGGGCUUCACGCAUGCUACAAUGGCUGGUACAGAGAGUGGCGAGCCUGUGAGGGUGAGCGAAUCUCGGAAAGCCGGUCUCAGUUCGGAUUGGGGUCUGCAACUCGACCUCAUGAAGUCGGAGUCGCUAGUAAUCGCAGAUCAGCAACGCUGCGGUGAAUACGUUCCCGGGGCUUGUACACACCGCCCGUCAAGUCAUGAAAGUUGGUAACACCCGAAGCCGGUGGCCUAACCGUUGUGGGGGAGCCGUCGAAGGUGGGACUGGUGAUUAGGACU
RNAcentral lists this ribosomal RNA (1448 nucleotides) under uncultured bacterium. RNAcentral describes it as "bacterial SSU rRNA". It matches the Rfam family "Bacterial small subunit ribosomal RNA". The record is from RNAcentral.